This 2408-nucleotide long non-coding RNA is filed under the name Brassica napus (rape). RNAcentral's name for it is "long non-coding RNA (BNAP_LNC008533)". The record is from RNAcentral. Lineage: Eukaryota; Viridiplantae; Streptophyta; Magnoliopsida; Brassicales; Brassicaceae.
ACAUGCUCCUGAUGACGUGUAUGCUCCACGGUAACAUCCCAAGAUCCAUUGGGGAUAUGACUUCCCUUGUUGAUCUCGAACUAAGUGGAAAUUUCCUCUCCGGCGAGAUUCCAAAAGAAAUCGGGAAUCUUUCCAACCUGAGGCAGCUUGAGUUGUACUAUAACUAUCACUUAACCGGCAGUAUACCUGACGAAAUCGGUAAUCUCAAAAAUCUCACGGACUUGGAUAUUUCCGUCAGCAAGUUAACCGGAAGAAUACCGGAAUCAAUAUGCAGUCUUCCAAAACUCCGAGUGCUUCAGCUUUACAACAACAGCUUAACCGGUGAGAUUCCCAAGUCGCUUGGUAACUCAAGAACCUUAAAGAUCUUGUCUCUCUACGACAACUACUUGACCGGUGAGCUCCCGCCAAAUCUCGGGUCUUCCUCGCCUAUGAUCGCUCUUGAUGUUUCGGAAAAUCGCCUCUCUGGUCCACUUCCGAGCCAAGUUUGCAAAUCCGGUAAGCUUUUGUACUUUCUUGUACUACAAAACCGGUUCUCUGGCUCGAUCCCUGCGACUUAUGGGAGGUGCAAGACUCUUAUCCGGUUCCGUGUUGCGAGCAACCGCCUCGUGGGAACUAUACCCCAAGAAGUCACGUCUCUACCUCAUGUCUCCAUCAUCGACUUGGCUUACAACUUCUUAUCGGGUCCAAUACCUAAUUCCAUCGGAAACGCUUGGAAUUUGUCAGAGCUGUUUAUGCAGGGUAAUAAAAUCUCCGGUGUUAUACCUUCCGAAAUAUCCCAUGCCACAAAUCUUGUGAAGCUUGAUCUCAGCAACAAUCAACUGACUGGUCCAAUACCUUCAGAGAUUGGAAGACUCCGACGACUAAACUUGCUUGUUCUGCAAGGAAACCACCUUGAUUCAUCAAUCCCUGAGACUGAGUCCCUUUUGUUUACAAUUUACUAAUUUAAUGUUUUUUAACACUGACUAUAUUAUAGCAAUCGCUCAUGGAAGGCUGUGAGCGAUGUCUAUCCGAGAAGAAAAAAACUCAAGCAAAAAAAAAUAUGUCGAGACAAGAGCGAGGUUCUUGGACAGGUGAUCGUGCACUCUUUAGUAUCAGAUUCAGUGAUAUUUCAACUCUUCUUUUGUGAUAAAAACAAGAAAUUAAAGUAAAGCUUCGGAGGUAUAAAGUUGGCUACAUACACCUCUACAUUAUUCUCCAUAAUAAGUUAGUGGGUAUAAUCAUAAAGCUUCUUUAUCUAAAGGAAACAUAUCUAUUCUCCCUUUCUUCAAUUAUAUUUAUUUAAAAAUCUAUCUUUUUCGUAAAAUCCAUCUAUCUGAUUCUGAUCGUAUACAGAAAAACUUGAACCCGUCUUUCGUUUUUAUAAGGUCGCAUUAAUUUCAGUCCUUCAACUCGUAAGCUCUUUUUAUUUCCCCUCAUUUAUCCUCCCAGACCCAAAAGUUCUCUCUUUCUUGCGUCCUAAGUUUGCUCCUGCUGCUUACUUUAGAGCUUUUCCUGAAAUGCUUUUCAGACUUUUCCCAGUUUUUGUUCUUCUCAUAUUUUGCUUCAACAGCAACCAAUUAUGGGGCUUGAUGACUUCCAACCAACAAUCACAAUUCUUCAAGCUUAUGAAAAACUCUCUUUCCAGCGAUGCUUUGUCCUCUUGGAAUCUUUCUGACGCCGUGACUUCUUACUACUGUAACUUCACGGGCGUAAGGUGCGACGGUCAAGGACUUGUCACCGAUCUUGAUCUUUCCGGUUUGUCACUCUCCGGGAUUUUUCCUGAUGGGAUUUGCUCUUUCCUCCCAAACCUUCGUGUUCUUCGUCUCUCUCGCAACCAUCUGAAUAGAAGCAGCAGCUUCCUCAACGACAUCCCUGACUGUUCUCUUCUUCAGGAGCUGAACAUGAGCUCUCUCUAUCUCACAGCCACACUCCCUGAUUUCUCACCGAUGAAAUCUCUGAGAGUCAUCGACAUGUCUUGGAACCACUUCACCGGUAGCUUCCCACUCUCGAUAUUCAAUCUCACCGAUUUACAGUAUCUCAAUUUCAACGAGAACCCUGAGUUCGAUCUCUGGACUCUACCGUAUUAUGUGUCCAAACUCACGAAGCUCACACACAUGCUCCUGAUGACGUGUAUGCUCCACGGUAACAUCCCAAGAUCCAUUGGGGAUAUGACUUCCCUUGUUGAUCUCGAACUAAGUGGAAAUUUCCUCUCCGGCGAGAUUCCAAAAGAAAUCGGGAAUCUUUCCAACCUGAGGCAGCUUGAGUUGUACUAUAACUAUCACUUAACCGGCAGUAUACCUGACGAAAUCGGUAAUCUCAAAAAUCUCACGGACUUGGAUAUUUCCGUCAGCAAGUUAACCGGAAGAAUACCGGAAUCAAUAUGCAGUCUUCCAAAACUCCGAGUGCUUCAGCUUUACAACAACAGCUUA